UCUCUCACGUUGGGGCUACUUGUUUUAGGGCGCAAAGGAGCGGCUUCGAAAGUGGGUAUUUCCCCUGCCGAAGACCAGGAAUCCUCCCCGAGCCCGCGCGCGCGACCCGCCGGUGCGCCGCGGCCCGCGGACAAACCUUCAUAUACAGAGUGUUUUUGACUUGGAACCUUCCCUUUUUUACUCCACUCAAUUGACUUAGCAGGGUUUCAAGAGCAGCGUUCAUAAAUUUGCAGCAUGGAGAUCUCCUCUCACCAGUCCCACCUCCUGCAACAACUGAACGAGCAGCGCAGGCAAGAUGUCUUUUGCGACUGCAGCAUUCUGGUUGAAGGGAAGGUCUUCAAAGCGCAUCGAAAUGUAUUAUUUGCUAGCAGCGGCUAUUUCAAAAUGCUUCUUUCUCAGAAUUCAAAGGAGACCAGUCAACCCACUACAGCUACAUUUCAGGCUUUCUCCCCCGACACUUUUACGGUUAUCCUGGACUUCGUCUAUUCCGGCAAACUCUCUCUCACUGGUCAGAAUGUCAUAGAAGUGAUGUCAGCUGCUAGCUUCCUUCAGAUGACUGAUGUCAUUAGUGUAUGUAAGACCUUUAUUAAAUCUUCACUAGACAUUAGCGAGAAAGAAAAAGAUCGCUAUUUCAGUCUCUCCGAUAAAGAUGCUAAUUCUAACGGUAUAGAACGUUCCUCCUUUUAUAGUGGUAGCUGGCAAGAAGAAAGCGGUUCUCCACAUUCUCACCUAAGCCCAGAUCAAGGAACGGGUAUAAUAAGUGGGAAAUCUUGGAGCAAGUAUAAUUACCAUCCAGCCUCCCAAAGGAACACCCAACAACCUUUGGCCAAGCAUGAACAAAGGAAAGAUUCCAUUAAAAAGUCCAAACAUUGGAGGUUGUCACAGCCUUCUGAAGUUGCUCAUUAUAAGUCUAGCAAACGAGAAGCUCGGACAUCGGAUUCUUCCGGCCACGUUUCCCAGUCGGAAGAACAAGCACAAGUUGAUGCUGACAUGGACUCUACUCCUGUUGGCUAUCCGUAUGGUCCAGGAUCUGAUGUCACAUCCAGAAGCUUUCCAGAUGAUCUGCCCAGGAUGCGGUUCAAGUGCCCGUACUGCACACACGUGGUGAAGCGGAAAGCAGACCUCAAGCGCCACCUUCGCUGCCAUACGGGAGAAAGGCCCUAUCCGUGUCAAGCUUGUGGGAAAAGAUUUAGCAGGCUGGACCAUCUCAGUAGCCAUUUCCGAACAAUUCACCAGGCAUGCAAACUAAUCUGCAGAAAAUGCAAACGCCACGUGACUGAUCUAACAGGGCAAGUGGUCCAGGAAGGAACCAGGCGCUACAGACUCUGUAACGAGUGCCUUGCUGAAGUUGGCAUAGACAGCCUCCCCAUUGAUUUGGAAGCUGAACAGCAUCUUAUGUCCCCAUCAGAUGGAGAUAAGGAUUCCAGAUGGCACUUGAGUGAAGAUGAGAAUAGAUCAUACGUGGAGAUUGUAGAGGAUGGGUCUGCUGAUCUGGUCAUACAACAGGUUGAUGAUAGUGAAGAAGAAGAAGAAAAGGAAAUAAAACCCAACAUUAGGUAGCUGACGUGUGACCCCACAGAGCUGUGGCGUGUAUGCAACUUACAUUGACUUCCUGUAUCUCUCUUUCCAUGGUCAGAGUCUGGUUAACAAAUUUAUCAGACUGACUUAAAAGUAAUGACCUAAUAUAACUUGCAUGCUUUCCAAACAGGUCAUUGUAUCCAUUCUGAACUUUGUUGCCCUAAAAUAUGUUGCUGCACCGGAAAGGAAGACCUAGCUUGAGUUGGCAUGAUGGAUGAACAAUUAAUCCUCUUUUUUUUUCCCCCUUUUAAUACUGGAAGAUCUACUUAGCAAACUUUUCUCAAAGAAAAUAUUUUAAAUAAAUUUACCACAACCAAACCUUAUGUAAGAGAAUUUCAAGGUGUUGCAAAAACACAAACUAUGAAUACUGAAUUUUCACAGGGAACCAGGAGAAAAAAACAACAAAAAACGAUACACAAGAAAAUUGGAGGUUACCACUUCUUAAGAAUGAUUUCUAACAUUUAUUUUUCUGCUCUAUUGUUUUUAAAGUGCUGUCUCACACAUUUUCUCACUUAAUCAGCAAGGUAAAUAUUAAUUGCCUCUGAUUUGCAAAUGACGAAAUUAAGGUCAGAAAGUUUAAGCUUUGGGACUUGUGACGGACAGGUUUUGAUUUUACACAGCCCUCUUCCAACUGUCUCUCCCUGUAUUGUCUCUGGAAAUGGCAGAGAAUUAAAGUCAAACCUCACCAAUCUGCAGUAAUUAGAAAAAGAAGCCUAUCAGAAAGCAUGAAAGAUUUUAAUAAUCUCUAACAACAUAUAAUAACUUGAACUAGAGUUAUCCAAGAGUGCUCAGUAAUGUCCCUACAGUGUCUUUUGACAUGUUUUUAAUGUCAAGUUAUUUAUAUGUAAAUUUUAUAUAUAACACUAUUUGAACCAAUUCUUCUCUUAGAUGCUUUAAGCAUUUUUACUUAUCUUGUUUAUGUAAUUUUUCAAAACAAACUUUUCCCCAAGGAAACAAAGGUGAGUUUCAACUCCUCCCCUGUGUGAAUUAGGAAACAUUCUAAACGUACAGUUAAAUUGGAGAAGCAUUAUUUUAGUUCUGAAGAUAAAAUCUAAAUGCCAAAAAAACCUGACCUUACUAAAGGUCACUGCAAGUUAUUACAAUUAAGCUUGAUCUGAUUUAAUUUUGAUGGAGAGAGGCUCUCUAUCAAAUUAUACUAUAUUUCUAAAUGUCAUAACAUAUGUCAAUAUGACCCUUUUCAUUUUAUUCUUUCUCUCAUUCUUUCAUUAGUGAUUGUCCUUUGAUACAAGUUGAGGGCUAAAAUGGUUAAUUUCUAAAACAGUUUUUAUAAAUAGAUGACUAACCAUUUGUUUUUGUUUUAUGGUACUUAAUGCUGAGACUUUUUUCAAGAUUCCCCUGGCGGUAAAUUUCCAUUCGCUUCAAGACUGGAUGGUAUGCACUGAGUUCAUUGUGCUCCCAACAUGACUGUUCCUGAAUCAGGAGUCUUAACAAUGAAGUUGUAUCCAAAUGAGGGAGGGAACACUUGUCAUUCUCUAGUCUCACCAGAUGGUAGCAUCUUUUAAAAUUAUUAUCUGAUUUUUUAGUCCUUGGAGCCAAGAGGAAAAAUGAGUGAUGGGAGCUUUAUUCAUGAGGAUGAUUAGUGCUUGCAUGUGUAUGCUCUAAUGCACUUUAGUCUGUGAUCUAAAUGUUCUUUUAUGCUGUUCUCUUAUGCAUGCGAACAUCAGCAUGAAUGUCAGCAAAGCCCACUGGACACGGUGCCACCAGCACCUUAUCUGAAAUAAUGCUUUCUCAUUGUUUAUAACAAGCAACAGGCUAUCCCCACAAAACAGCCAUCAGGCUCAUCAAACUAGACAGCUCAUCUAUCCUACCAUUUUAGUAUCCUAAAAGAAAAACAUUUGUGACAUGUUUGUAAGUUGUAAAUAAUAACUCCAGUUAUCAUAUCAUAUGUAUCGAAGACUUUAAAGACCAGUUCUUUCCCAGAGUGAGACUGUCCAGUAAUGGUUUCUGAGAAAACAAAAGUCUUUGGCUUUUAAAUGUGGGGAAAUGUUACAUAGGGGUGUAAUCUCUUAAUGUAAGCUUAAUUUAUGCCAAGGGUUUUUUCUUUUUUUCAUAUUAGCAAAAUAGCGGGAGUUGGUUAGAACAAAGUUUGCUCUUACAGUAAUGCUGUUUAUCAGCUGGUGAAUGCCUUUCUAACUGUGUGGUCCUCAAGAGUGUGUGGCGAUGGGAAGAAGUGUUGCAAAAUAAAGCAAUACCGCAGUCGUGCCUAGUGGCUGGAGGAGGCAAAAUGGACUAGAUCGGUGGUUUAAAAGAUUUUUUUUUUAACCCAAGAAACCCUUUCUUCAAAUGAAUUGUUUCAGAGAGAAGCCCACCAUUUAAGGUGGGCGAAACCCUAAAAUCAGAGCUGCUCUUGUUAAAGCCCUCUGUGAGCCUUUCACCAGACACCUCUGCAGAGCUCAGGAGUGCGGUACUGAAAACCUUGGAACCAGGGAACUUUUUGAAUUCCCUUUGAGCAUUGCGGUCUUACUUCAUUACCUCUGUUACCGUGCUGAUAAACUGGUAAUCACGGGGUCUCCUAGAGCAGCAGCUCACAGCCUUCAUCGGUACAAUAUUCCUUCUAUAGUUAGCAUGUCUUUUGAAGAACAAAUUUUUCAACAUUGUAUUUUUGACUAACGAAAUCAAAACAAGCACCGUUACUGCUUUUAUGCCACCAAGUCAUUGCUUAAUGGAUGAAGAAAGUUUGGUGUGUCAGUUACUUAAGAGUUCAGACUGAAUUCAUUAAAGUUAUUUUGCUAAGUCAUGCUAAGAUAUAUCGAAACUUCCACUCAUAUUGGAUAUAUAUAUAUAUAUACCUAUAUAUACAUAUAUAUCCUAUAUAUACAUAUAUAUCCUAAAUUAAUUAAUACCAUGGAAAUUUAAUACUGUGGAAAAUCACUAAAAGUGACAUAGUGUAAGAUUAUUUAACUGGGAAGGCUGAUAAUAAUAGGUACUGGAGGACCAAACUUUAGAUCAUACAUGGAAAGUUCUAUGUUAUUUUAUAUUAGAGUGGAUCAGUAUUACUAUUUAUCAUUUAUAUAGCAUUUUAUAUUUACAAAGUAUUUAAUAAUUUUUAUGUUAUUCUUUACAUAUCUAUGAAAUAGGACAGUUCUCUCACAUGAAAGGUAAAGAAAUUGAGGCACAGAACAGUAAAGCAACCUCCCUAAGACAACCCAGUGAAACAAUGGCAAAAAUAGGAACUAGAAUGAUCGGAUUUUCUGAAUCCUAGAAUAUCAGCUUAAUUCACUGAGGUGUGUUGUGUAUUACUCGAUUUUAUAAGAUGCCUUUUACAAAUAAUAGUCAAUUGUCUUAAAGUUGACGUCAUUGUAUGUGGAUAAAUCCUAUACAGAAUAAAUAUUAUGUAAAGGAUGUGACUUUAGUUAUAAGAGUUUUAAUGAUAAAAUUCAGGCUAUCACAGAAACAGCACUGUUUAGCCAGUGGCUUUAUAUAUUGUGAAGUAUAAUUAAUAUUUUGUUUUGAUAUAGGAGUUUCUUAACUAUUCAUGCUAAUGGAGCCAUGAAUAGACCAGAAAAAUGAAAUCCACAGAGGAUCUAUACACUUCGUCUUCUAACAUGUUAGUCUUUUCCCUACGGAAUUUGUAUUGAUGCCAACAAAAAGUCAAAUAUGUUAAUAAGUGAUAAACCACACACAAGAGAAGCCAAGGGCCUCUUAACUUUUCAAGGCUUUUCGAUACUAAAAUAGGAUAAACAUUUUUCUCCAUCUCUUUAUUUUUUUUCACAUCCGUUUCAAAAGCCAUUGGAUACUUACCACCUUGAGAUUCGAAACCAGUGACCAGGGUAAUGCCAGUCAUCUUUUUACCUUGAGACUUGAUUAGAUAGAUCAUUUACAAACAUUGUUAAAUGGAAUACAGCUUAUAAAGUAUAUCUAGGAAUUUAUUAUACUCUGCUUUGCUCUUUCAGAUUUCUAGAUAUACAAAUCCAUUAUAUAGUUGCUUGAUUUUCCCAUUGGGAAAAUCUUUUAAUCCCUUGUUGAUAUUAUUUACA
Molecule: RNA transcript, 5576 nt
Organism: Prionailurus viverrinus (fishing cat)
Lineage: Eukaryota; Metazoa; Chordata; Mammalia; Carnivora; Felidae
Gene: ZBTB8A
Gene name: zinc finger and BTB domain containing 8A
Exons: 6
Source: RefSeq, a predicted model, not a curated record